UGAAAUGCUUAGAGAUUACAUGGAAUACCAAUUGCGAAGGCAGGUUACUACUAAUGGAUUGACGCUGAUGGACGAAAGCGUGGGUAGCGAACAGGAUUAGAUACCCUGGUAGUCCACGCCGUAAACGAUGGAUACUAGCUGUUGGGCGCAAGUUCAGUGGCUAAGCGAAAGUGAUAAGUAUCCCACCUGGGGAGUACGUUCGCAAGAAUGAAACUCAAAGGAAUUGACGGGGGCCCGCACAAGCGGUGGAGCAUGUGGUUUAAUUCGAUGAUACGCGAGGAACCUUACCAAGGCUUAAAUGUAGAUUGACAGGACUGGAAACAGUUUUUUCUUCGGACAAUUUACAAGGUGCUGCAUGGUUGUCGUCAGCUCGUGCCGUGAGGUGUCAGGUUAAGUCCUAUAACGAGCGCAACCCCUGUUGUUAGUUGCCAGCGAGUCAAGUCGGGAACUCUAACAAGACUGCCAGUGUAAACUGUGAGGAAGGUGGGGAUGACGUCAAAUCAUCACGGCCCUUACGCCUUGGGCUACACACGUGCUACAAUGGACGGUACAGAGAGCAGCCACUACGCAAGUAGGAGCGAAUCUAUAAAACCGUUCUCAGUUCGGAUCGGAGUCUGCAACUCGACUCCGUGAAGUUGGAAUCGCUAGUAAUCGGAUAUCAGCCAUGAUCCGGUGAAUACGUUCCCAGGGCCUUGUACACACCGCCCGUCAAGCCAUGGAAGC
RNAcentral lists this ribosomal RNA (723 nucleotides) under uncultured Bacteroidota bacterium. RNAcentral's name for it is "bacterial SSU rRNA". It matches the Rfam family "Bacterial small subunit ribosomal RNA", at positions 682 to 1411 of the family's 1533-position model. Lineage: Bacteria; Pseudomonadati; Bacteroidota. The record is from RNAcentral.